RNAcentral lists this ribosomal RNA (484 nucleotides) under uncultured bacterium. RNAcentral's name for it is "partial 16S ribosomal RNA". It matches the Rfam family "Bacterial small subunit ribosomal RNA", at positions 30 to 507 of the family's 1533-position model. The record is from RNAcentral.
AUUGAACGCUGGCGGCAGGCCUAACACAUGCAAGUCGAGCGGAUGAAGGGAGCUUGCUCCUGGAUUCAGCGGCGGACGGGUGAGUAAUGCCUAGGAAUCUGCCUGGUAGUGGGGGAUAACGUCCGGAAACGGGCGCUAAUACCGCAUACGUCCUGAGGGAGAAAGUGGGGGAUCUUCGGACCUCACGCUAUCAGAUGAGCCUAGGUCGGAUUAGCUAGUUGGUGGGGUAAAGGCCUACCAAGGCGACGAUCCGUAACUGGUCUGAGAGGAUGAUCAGUCACACUGGAACUGAGACACGGGCCAGACUCCUAAGGGAGGCAGCAGUUGGGAAUAUUGGACAAUGGGCGAAAGCCUGAUCCAGGCAUGGCGCGUGUGUGAAGAAGGUCUUCGGAUUGUAAAGCACUUUAAGUUGGGAGGAAGGGCAGUAAGUUAAUACCUUGCUGUUUUGACGUUACCAACAGAAUAAGCACCGGCUAACUUCGUG